Molecule: ribosomal RNA, 447 nt
Filed under: uncultured bacterium
Lineage: Bacteria
Description: bacterial SSU rRNA
Rfam family: Bacterial small subunit ribosomal RNA
Source: RNAcentral
CCCAGACUCCUACGGGAGGCAGCAGUGAGGGAUAUUGGUCAAUGGGGGAAACCCUGAACCAGCAACGCCGCGUGAGGGAAGACGGUUUUCGGAUUGUAAACCUCUGUCCUCUGUGAAGAUAAUGACGGUAGCAGAGGAGGAAGCUCCGGCUAACUACGUGCCAGCAGCCGCGGUAAUACGGAGGAUGCGAGCGUUAUCCGGAUUUAUUGGGUUUAAAGGGUGCGUAGGCGGGAUGCUAAGUCAGCGGUAAAAUUGCGGUGCUCAACGCCGUAGAGCCGUUGAAACUGGCGUUCUUGAGUGGGCGAGAAGUAUGCGGAAUGCGUGGUGUAGCGGUGAAAUGCAUAGAUAUCACGCAGAACCCCGAUUGCGAAGGCAGCAUACCGGCGCCCAACUGACGCUGAGGCACGAAAGUGCGGGUAUCGAACAGGAUUAGAUACCCGAGUACAA